Molecule: long non-coding RNA, 728 nt
Filed under: Numida meleagris (helmeted guineafowl)
Lineage: Eukaryota; Metazoa; Chordata; Aves; Galliformes; Numididae
Description: lncRNA (ENSNMEG00000002860.1)
Source: RNAcentral
AGAAUUUCUCACUUCAAAGCAUCGCACAAUUGACCUGCAGAAUGAAAUGACCGUGGCUGUUAGCAGUUGCAGUGCUCCUUUACACCUGGUGACCCCUGUUUCCAUGUGCCCAGCUCCCAGAAGUAACCAACAAGUUGCCCAGAAAGAGGUCCCUGUUUGCUGGAGACUGUGCAAACACAAAGUAAUCAAUGCUCCCCGUCGUGGGAAAACGCACGGCUUGCGUGGAAGGGAUGGAGAAAGGGGAAGAAUGAGUUAGCAGCAGGUAGAUGUUUUUGUGUGCUCGGGUCAUAAAGGGUCUCAGCUCAGAAGUGGGUUUAUCAGUUAAACAGAAGGAAAUGAGCGGUGGAUGAGGGGCAGGCAGGAGGGAGAGAAGAAAAAGAUCUUCUCUUCUGAUGCAGCCACACCCACAGCCACGAAUGCAGGCCCAAGCUAUGCGUAAUCUGGAAAAGGCUUCUGGCAGAGCGCGGGCAUCCCUGCACUUGUGCUUGCUGGCAGUGCCAUGGAGUCUGUCCAAGGGAGGGUGGCUUUGUCCCUGUAAUUAUACCUAAGCUUAGCCUUUCCAAACAAAGCGAUGCCAGGACCGGUCCGUCACGCUUUUCCAGUCAAAGUAAAUACAAGGAACUUCUCAUCCUGCAGAAACAACCCACAUCAGUUCUGUAAUGAUUAUUAUGGAUGCUUGUUGUAAGUAAUGCUACUAAGUGCACCUGUUUCUGAUACCAUUCCUACCA